ACCUGUGCACCAACCCCAUACUCUCUUGAAUCAACAGGCAGACCAAGUUCUUCAUUAGCUUCAACAGUAUCACGUCCAGCAUCUUGUAAAUUAUAAGCACGAAGUUUGUGACCCAAACCAAUGCCUCUACCCUCAUGACCACGGAGGUAAACCAAAACCCCCCUGCCAGCAGCCUCAAUUUGUUGCAUUGCAAUUGCCAGCUGGUUUCCACAGUCACAUCUCGCUGAACCGAAUAUAUCUCCUGUGAGACAUUCCGAGUGUACCCGGACAAGAAUAUCUUGUCCGUCUCCUAUAUCUCCCUGGUCAUUCAACAAACUCAUCCCAAAUUAGUACCAAACACGAAAUGAACUAGUCAAGACGAAUGCUCCCAUACUAUGCAGUAAUAAAAUUCUCUACAAGGAUGCCAAAAGGUAAAGUGAUGUAAGAUACAGUAGUAAAAGUGCUUGUCCCCCCUUCCUCUUAAGAAAACGAUGGAACUUCAUGCUUCAAAUAGAGAAGACAUACGUAUAAAACCACACCUGAACUAUCCUUUUUUUUUUUAGUUUCAUACCUAAACUAUUGAGAGCGUGAAUUUCAUACCUAAACUAUCACUUAUUAGUCUGAAAAACACACUAAACUAGAAAUGUAUGUACAAUUUUGACUAGUCAAACCACUGCUGAAGAUAUAAGCGAGAAUAUCCCCAAAGUUGCUCACCUUAACCAUAGCAAUGUGCUCAAUUCCAUCUAUUAUUGACUUGAAGCAAUGGGCAGUAAAUGGGCCCCACAUAGUAGGUAUUCUUGCAGCAGAAGCAUGCUCUACCAACUGAUCUGUUUUCCUCCUAUAUCUGUAAAAGGAAGUAAUUGUCAGAUGAUGUAUUCUUGAACCACUAAAAGAAUGCUUGCUCUCAAGCAUUUGCUGGNAAUGGGAGUCAGAAUGGGGACUCUACCAGAAAUUGCCAAACCAUAACCCUUCAGUCCACUGUAUUUUGCAGGAUUGUUUGUCAUCAGCCUCAUAGUUCGAACACCAAGAUCCCUUAAGAUCUGCACAAGGAUGUCAUUUUAGUUUUUCUUUAAGACAACUAGAUUUACACAAAAAAUCACAGCAACAUCCAGAGAGAGCUUAUAUAGGAAGUGAGUACCUGUGCACCAACCCCAUACUCUCUUGAAUCAACAGGCAGACCAAGUUCUUCAUUAGCUUCAACAGUAUCACGUCCAGCAUCUUGUAAAUUAUAAGCACGAAGUUUGUGACCCAAACCAAUGCCUCUACCCUCAUGACCACGGAGGUAAACCAAAACCCCCCUGCCAGCAGCCUCAAUUUGUUGCAUUGCAAUUGCCAGCUGGUUUCCACAGUCACAUCUCGCUGA
RNAcentral lists this long non-coding RNA (1342 nucleotides) under Solanum pimpinellifolium. RNAcentral's name for it is "long non-coding RNA (SPIM_LNC000012)". Lineage: Eukaryota; Viridiplantae; Streptophyta; Magnoliopsida; Solanales; Solanaceae. The record is from RNAcentral.